This 2380-nucleotide long non-coding RNA is filed under the name Anas platyrhynchos platyrhynchos (common mallard). Its description in RNAcentral is "lncRNA (ENSAPLG00000028801.1)". The record is from RNAcentral. Lineage: Eukaryota; Metazoa; Chordata; Aves; Anseriformes; Anatidae.
CAAGAAUCGUAACUUCUUCUUGGAAUGAAAAGAAUGAAAGCUUUGUGCGAUAUAAAUACAGCACAUGUAUUCAUAUUGUUAAAAUUGUAUGAAUUUUUGCAAAAUUCAUCUUACAUUGCGGGUAUUCUUUGCAAAGUAACAGUAAGGCUCAUGAAAGAUUAUUAUAGGCAAUGGGAGUGAAACUUAUAUUUAGUCUCUCUGUACUUUCUGCUAUAUUUUUUUUCUUCCUUAUUUUGAAAAACUCUAAUAUCUCAGUGAAUUACAGUAGGAACUUGAAAUUUGAAAGAGACAAAAAAUCCAGAAACAGAGCUGGUCUUUUGAUCAGGAUAAUUAUUGAGCUAAUAAAAAAAAAAAAAAAGUUUUUUGCACCUCAUAUAUUUAAGAAGAUUAGAAUAUUAUAAAAAUAUUACAAAGAGCAUGACAAUAGAACAUGGUGGGAACAAAUCAUGAAGAAAGAGAGAAUGGUCUUAAAAGAAGAUAAUUUUUCACUGAAAAGAGGUCAUAAAGUUUGGUUGUAUGUAUUUAACGGAGAGGCACAGGAAUAGAUAGUAACCCUCAUUAUCUACUGAGGGAAUUUCUGUGCUAGGAUGUCUUAAAAUGUCUAUUUGAUGAGGAUCUUGGAAGGACAAAGAUGAAAGCACUUUUCUUUUCUUUUUUUUUUUUUGAGGAAAAAGGUUGAUAGUCCAAGUGUAAGUAACAAGAAUGGGAGAUGAGGUGGGGGGAAAAGGAAUUUUGAGAUAAAAAAGAAUAUGUAGGAUGGCAGUAAGACAUAAAAGCUGAGAAGUUUACAUCCUAGAUCUCCAUAUAAUUUUUCAGAUAAAUAAGAAGAGCUUCAUGCUGAUAUGGGAAGUGUCAGAAAGCCUUGAAGACACUCAGAGAACUCAAGGGAACCCUUAUCUCAUCUGCAUAUGGUGUUCACAAAGGGCCUGCUGGAAGAUCCAAGUCCAGUCUGCACUCAUGAAGCACCUGCUCUGCAGAAAUGGAGCUGAGGGCAGUAGCUUUUACAUGUCCUGCUGUGCCACAGAACAGAACGUGGAAGUUUGCAAGUUAAGAUUGUUUUGGUUUUGAUGAAUAGACUACACAACAAAAUUGAGCGAGGCUUCUGCUGGCUGUUAUAUUACCAGACAAAAUGCAGUGACAUUCUUCAUGUCCAGAUUUCUUAAGACUUAGUGUUUCUUUCUCAUUGGAAAGGUGACAGCAUUAGCACGGUACACAAUUGGCAAAGUGCUGAAGGAUGAAUGUCUGUUUUGUUACCCCUAGAUCUUCCUUGGAAAUAUGUUCCCUAAGGACGUGGUUAUACAGUUGAAUGUGUUUUGGGCAGAGUGCGGGGCUUCCUUCAAGAGCGUAUGUCUCAAAUCUAAAAUGAAACUUCAUGCUUAGACUUUGUAGCAAGACUGUUGUCCUCUCCUUUUUUCUUAUGACAUCUGUAAGGGAAGAUUACAGGAAAGCAGGGAAACAUCUAAACUGUUCUUAAUUGCUAUUUAUACUAUCUCAGCAAUGAUGAUUUUAGCUAUAUUCCCACUUUAUAAAUGACAUAUGUAAUUGGGUUAAACAGAAUCACACACAACAUUUGUUGGUCAAUUACCUCUUAAAUUAUGUAUGUUUUCUUAAUUUGGAAAUGCAAUUUUUCUUCCACACAUAAAGCUCUUUUCUAAAUAUGUAUUUAGUAUAUCUGAAAUGAUUACUUGUAUUUGUACACAGAAGCUAAAUUGAAUAGAGUUUUUCUAUUAUGUGUAUACAUUUCUACAACCAGGAAGACACCUUUAUUUCUGUAUGUAUGGGGUGUUCUCUGAAUAAUGGAUAGAUAAAUCAAUGUGUGUGUAAGUCUUAGACAAGGAAAAUCUGAAAACCAAACGUGUUCGGUCAAUAUACUCAUAUUUAUUAAAGUUAAUAUUAUCCUAAGGCUCAAUUAUUUACUAGAAUUCCAGUAAGAAUGUUUGUCUAGGUAAAUGCAUUCUUGCGUGUCACCCUUAAAUACAUGUAACAUGAAAUCUUGUUUUACAAAAAUAAUUGAUCUCCACCAUGAACAGUAACUAAAAAUGUUAAUAGUUUUACAUUUGCUCCCUCAACAAAACAAGGUCAAAACUAAUCUUACAAAAACAUGCAUGAUAUAUACGAUCACUAUCUGUUUCACAAACCUUCACUUUGGAAGCAUCCUUGAAAAAGUUCGUGUGAAUGUCUGGUUUCUUUGCUUGUUUAAAUUGAUGUUCCUCCACUAAUGCUACUGUGUCUAUGCUGAUUUGUGCCAAAUAAUUAGAUUCUUACUGUAUACAGCACCGUUUACCCUACAGAGAACAGCAUUUAAACGUGCUCAACAUAUUUAAUUUUCCCAAAUUCAGAUUUAGGCAAGAGCCAUAAUAAACAGUAGUAUGAACUGGCA